GGUUAUGCUUUCGUCAUGUUCCU
RNAcentral lists this small nuclear RNA (23 nucleotides) under Arabidopsis thaliana (thale cress). Its description in RNAcentral is "snRNA_06177". Lineage: Eukaryota; Viridiplantae; Streptophyta; Magnoliopsida; Brassicales; Brassicaceae. The record is from RNAcentral.